This is a long non-coding RNA of Homo sapiens (human), 856 nucleotides long. RefSeq lists it as uncharacterized. NCBI's taxonomy places the organism in Eukaryota, Metazoa, Chordata, Mammalia, Primates, Hominidae. The record is from RefSeq and is a predicted model, not a curated record. The transcript has 3 exons.
GCUUGCUCACACCUGCUUUUACUCUGUGAGUUGUACUUUUGCUUCUUCAAUAAAUCUGUGCCUUUGUUACUCCGUUCUUUUGUUGUUUUGCUUGUGCGUUUUGUUUAAUUCUUUGUUUGAAACCCCAAGAACCUGGACAACUCACAGUCAAGACCUUCCGUCCGGUAACAAAGCAACAGACCUCAGUCAUGUCAUCUGCUUACAAAGGAGCCACGGGUAUCGCUCUGCCUCCCAGGCUGGAGUGCAGUGGCACAAUCACAGCUCACUGCAGCCUCGACCUUCUCGGCUCAAGCAAUCCUCCUACCUCAGCCUCCUGAGUAGCUGGGAUUGCAGGCAUUCAUCACCACACCCAGCACCAGGCCCAGAGGCCUACCUGCAGAACCAGGAGCCUUCCCAGAGAUGCCUGUUGAUGGAUGGCUACACUGAGAACCUGAAAUAGCGUGCAAAUAACUCUCUUCUCUGUACUUGAAGCCAAAUCGCAUUCCCAGGCAGACAUAUCCAGCGGGGAAAGAAGAAACAAGAAAAUGAAUGAUCCACUUGCACAAGAAUCUCUCCUAUGAGCAAGUGUUAGGUGAGGGUGGGGAUAAGAUGCCUGUCUCGGGAGACAAGGCUGUACAAAUUCAUAAUUUGAAUUUUUAUGGUUAAUUUUAUGGUUAAUUUUAUGGAAUUUUAUGGUUAAUCUUGGAUAGUGGGAUUUGGGAUAAAUUUGCUUUUAUAAUAUGUAAUUGUAUUUUCUGAAUUUUCUACAGUGAACUCGUAUUGCUUUUAUGAACAGGAAAAAGAACAACAAAUGCCAUAAAAAUCAUGUAGUAUAUUAAUCUUGUCUUCCUAACAAGACUAUAUAAGUUCCCUGACA